GUUCAUUCCUGAACAUAUACUAAAAUUGGAACAAUACAGAGAAGAUUAGCAUGGCUCAUGCGAUGGAGGACACGCAAAUUCGUGAAGCGUUCCAAAAAUUU
Molecule: small nuclear RNA, 101 nt
Filed under: Nippostrongylus brasiliensis
Lineage: Eukaryota; Metazoa; Nematoda; Chromadorea; Rhabditida; Heligmosomidae
Source: RNAcentral